AUGAACGCUGGCGGCGUGCCUAAUACAUGCAAGUCGAGCGAACAGAUGAGGAGCUUGCUCCUCUGACGUUAGCGGCGGACGGGUGAGUAACACGUGGAUAACCUACCUAUAAGACUGGGAUAACUUCGGGAAACCGGAGCUAAUACCGGAUAAUAUAUUGAACCGCAUGGUUCAAUAGUGAAAGACGGUUUUGCUGUCACUUAUAGAUGGAUCCGCGCCGCAUUAGCUAGUUGGUAAGGUAACGGCUUACCAAGGCAACGAUGCGUAGCCGACCUGAGAGGGUGAUCGGCCACACUGGAACUGAGACACGGUCCAGACUCCUACGGGAGGCAGCAGUAGGGAAUCUUCCGCAAUGGGCGAAAGCCUGACGGAGCGACGCCGCGUGAGUGAUGAAGGUCUUCGGAUCGUAAAACUCUGUUAUUAGGGAAGAACAAAUGUGUAAGUAACUAUGCACGUCUUGACGGUACCUAAUCAGAAAGCCACGGCUAACUACGUG
This 496-nucleotide ribosomal RNA is filed under the name uncultured bacterium. RNAcentral describes it as "partial 16S ribosomal RNA". It matches the Rfam family "Bacterial small subunit ribosomal RNA", at positions 29 to 507 of the family's 1533-position model. The record is from RNAcentral.